CAGGGUGGAACUGCUGAAAUCCCAUAAACUGGACUCUUCAAAGGUGCAGAUGCACCUGUCUUAUUAAGCAACACCUUCAAUUCAACACCUUCCUGCCUCUUAGGGACUUUGUAUCCCACAGAUAUGUUUUUUAAUCCCAUUAAAAAAAAAAAAAAAAAAAAAAAAAGAAGAAGAAGAAGAAGAAGAGUGUAGUAAUCUUCAUCCGCCUCGAGGCGGGAAAGCGAAUGAGCGCUACAUUUCAUAAUGCUCUGAAAAAUACGAAGUGAAACCCUGUUGCCAAAACAUUCUCCUAGGUGUGGAAAACCUUAUUUCUUGGCGGCUUAAAGGGACAGUGGAAAGAGGGGCGGUGGAGGGUGGGAAGAAAGGGUGAAACUGACCCUCGGAGCUCCGCGGGCUGUGGCGGACCCGUGCAGGCUCCCGCUCCCUCCGCAGCCCGGUGCUGCCGGCGCUGCGGGGCGGAGCGGCCGCGCACGGAAACCCGGCCGGGAAGAGCCGCCUUGUUCCCUGCCUUGUUCCCCGCCGUGUUCCCCGUUCCCCGAGCUGUUCCCGCAUACACACCGGGCGGCUGGAGCGGGAGAGCCUCCUCCACAUGCCGGGAAUGCCGGGGAGCAGGCCCGGCGGGGAAGCGCCGCCCCGGAGCGCGGGAAGGAGAGUGGCCGAGCUGCUCCCUCACGCAGGGCAGGGUGGAAAGAGUCAGCACAUCUCUCUUACCUACAGUACAGCUGGCUCUCUGAUCUGCACUUAAUCUGACCCAAGAUAGCUGUAAGCAGGUGAUCCUCCACUCAUGUUAUUAUCCUGUUUCUAAUGGCCAUUACAUUUCAUUUCCUACAUUACCUUAUACUAAGUGGAAUACUUAGGCUUCCUAAAGUAGUUAGGACUGAAUGAUAGAUCUGUAACUGAAGUGAUUUAUUUGCCUGUUACUGUAAUUCUUAGAGAGCAAUCCAGGCAUGAAAAGGGGAGGUAAAAGAGAGGACAGGGUAACUUUUAUUUAAAAAAAAUAUAGUAAUUUAGGUCUUCAUGUUACAUUUAGAUAAAAUUUCUGGAAAUUGAUGCUAUUUGAAAAAGAGAGCAUCUCUGAGCUAACUCUUGAGCUCACUUUUGCAUGGCCAUAUCCACAGGAGAGAGCUGGGGAUUCAGAAACAUUGUAUGGGAGACAUGGAUAAAGCGCUGGAUCUACACCUUGUUAAUCAAAGCAUCACCUAAUCUGGACAGCUGGAAGUGCAGCACUGAGGGCUAUAUUUUAAGAUUAUUAAAUAAAACGAGUCUCGAGUCUCUUGGGGUUGCAUAAGUCUCAACCUGUU
This 1301-nucleotide long non-coding RNA is filed under the name Taeniopygia guttata (zebra finch). Its description in RNAcentral is "lncRNA (ENSTGUG00000023576.1)". The record is from RNAcentral. Lineage: Eukaryota; Metazoa; Chordata; Aves; Passeriformes; Estrildidae.